GACCUCUGGAUGUUAGGGACUGA
Molecule: microRNA, 23 nt
Filed under: Mus musculus (house mouse)
Lineage: Eukaryota; Metazoa; Chordata; Mammalia; Rodentia; Muridae
Description: mmu-miR-1927
Source: miRBase by way of RNAcentral